ACUCCUACGGGAGGCAGCAGUGGGGAAUAUUGCACAAUGGGGGAAACCCUGAUGCAGCCAUGCCGCGUGUGUGAAGAAGGCCUUCGGGUUGUAAAGCACUUUCAGCGAGGAGGAAAGGGUGUAAGUUAAUACCUUACAUCUGUGACGUUACUCGCAGAAGAAGCACCGGCUAACUCCGUGCCAGCAGCCGCGGUAAUACGGAGGGUGCGAGCGUUAAUCCGAAUUACUGGGCGUAAAGCGUGCGCAGGCGGUUUGUUAAGCGAGAUGUGAAAGCCCGGCUCAACCUGGAACCGCAUUUCGAACUGGCAAACUAGAGUCUUGUAGAGGGUGGUGGAAUUCCAGUGUAGCGGUGAAAUGCAGUAGAGAUUGGAAGGAACAUCAGUGGCGAAGGCGGCCACCUGGACAAAAACUGACGCUGAGGCACGAAAGCGUGGGUAGCAAACAGGAUUAGAUACCCUGGUAGGACAGUG
RNAcentral lists this ribosomal RNA (470 nucleotides) under uncultured bacterium. RNAcentral's name for it is "bacterial SSU rRNA". It matches the Rfam family "Bacterial small subunit ribosomal RNA", at positions 335 to 799 of the family's 1533-position model. The record is from RNAcentral.